GGUUACCGAAUUCAGACAAACUCCGAAUGCCAAUUAAUUUAACUUGGGAGUCAGAACAUGGGUGAUAAGGUCCGUGUUCGAAAGGGAAACAGCCCAGACCACCAGCUAAGGUCCCAAAAUAUAUGUUAAGUGGAAAAGGAUGUGGCGUUGCCCAGACAACUAGGAUGUUGGCUUAGAAGCAGCCAUCAUUUAAAGAGUGCGUAAUAGCUCACUAGUCGAGUGACACUGCGCCGAAAAUGUACCGGGGCUAAACAUAUUACCGAAGCUGUGGAUUGUCCUUUGGACAAUGGUAGGAGAGCGUUCUAAGGGCGUUGAAGCAUGAUCGNUGGAAAGAUGAAUCAAAGAAGGUAAUAAUCCUGUAGUCGAAAAUGUUGUCUCUCUUGAGUGGAUCCUGAGUACGACGGAGCACGUGAAAUUCCGUCGGAAUCUGGGAGGACCAUCUCCUAAGGCUAAAUACUCUCUAGUGACCGAUAGUGAACCAGUACCGUGAGGGAAAGGUGAAAAGCACCCCGGAAGGGGAGUGAAAUAGAACCUGAAACCGUGUGCUUACAAGUAGUCAGAGCCCGUUAAUGGGUGAUGGCGUGCCUUUUGUAGAAUGAACCGGCGAGUUACGAUUUGAUGCAAGGUUAAGCAGUAAAUGUGGAGCCGUAGCGAAAGCGAGUCUGAAUAGGGCGUUUAGUAUUUGGUCGUAGACCCGAAACCAGGUGAUCUACCCUUGGUCAGGUUGAAGUUCAGGUAACACUGAAUGGAGGACCGAACCGACUUACGUUGAAAAGUGAGCGGAUGAACUGAGGGUAGCGGAGAAAUUCCAAUCGAACCUGGAGAUAGCUGG
RNAcentral lists this ribosomal RNA (832 nucleotides) under Staphylococcus argenteus. RNAcentral describes it as "bacterial LSU rRNA". The stretch from base 124 to 832 matches the Rfam family "Bacterial large subunit ribosomal RNA", at positions 1 to 852 of the family's 2925-position model. Lineage: Bacteria; Bacillati; Bacillota; Bacilli; Caryophanales; Staphylococcaceae. The record is from RNAcentral.